AGGAAUUUUCGGCAAUGGAGGAAACUCUGACCGAGCAACGCCGCGUGAACGAUGAAGUAUUUAGGUACGUAAAGUUCUUUUAUUAAAGAAGAAAAAAUGAUGGAAAAAUCAUUCUGACGGUAUUUAAUGAAUAAGCCCCGGCUAACUAUGUGCCAGCAGCUGCGGUAAUACAUGGGGGGCAAGCGUUAUCCGGAGUUAUUGGGCGUAAAGGGUGCGUAGGCGGUUAAAUAAGUCUAUGGUAUAAGUUCAACGCUUAACGUUGUGAUGCUAUAGAAACUGUUUGACUAGAGUUGGAUAGAGGCAAGUGGAAUUCCAUGUGUAGCGGUGAAAUGCGUAAAUAUAUGGAGGAACACCAGUAGCGAAGGCGGCUUGCUGGGUCUUAACUGACGCUGAGGCACGAAAGCGUGGGGAGCAAACAG
This 419-nucleotide ribosomal RNA is filed under the name Candidatus Phytoplasma prunorum. RNAcentral's name for it is "bacterial SSU rRNA". It matches the Rfam family "Bacterial small subunit ribosomal RNA", at positions 357 to 775 of the family's 1533-position model. Lineage: Bacteria; Bacillati; Mycoplasmatota; Mollicutes; Acholeplasmatales; Acholeplasmataceae. The record is from RNAcentral.